UUGAAGUUAAAGUUGUAACAAGGUUUCCGUAGGUGAACCUGCGGAAGGAUCAUUA
RNAcentral lists this ribosomal RNA (55 nucleotides) under Erysiphe euonymicola. Its description in RNAcentral is "partial 18S ribosomal RNA". It matches the Rfam family "Eukaryotic small subunit ribosomal RNA", at positions 1777 to 1831 of the family's 1831-position model. The record is from RNAcentral. Lineage: Eukaryota; Fungi; Ascomycota; Leotiomycetes; Helotiales; Erysiphaceae.